AUACGGAGGAUGCAAGCGUUCUCCGGAUUUAUUGGGGUUAAAGGGUGCGUAGGCGGGUGAUUAAGCGUGAGGUGAAAUGCCACUGCUCAACAGUGGAACUGCCUCGCGAACUGGUUGUCUUGAAUGCUCCUGCCGUGGGAGGAAUGUGUGGUGUAGCGGUGAAAUGCAUAGAGAUCACACAGAACACCGAUUGCGAAGGCAUCUCACGAAGGGGUGAUUGACGCUGAGGCACGAAAGCGUGGGGAUCAAACAGGAUUAGAUACCCUGGUAGUCCACGCAGUAAACGAUGAUAACUAACCGCUGGGUCGUAGUGAUUCAGUGGCCAAGCGAAAGCGAUAAGUUAUCCACCUGGGGAGUACGGCCGCAAGGUUGAAACUCAAAUGAAUUGGCGGGG
Molecule: ribosomal RNA, 394 nt
Filed under: uncultured bacterium
Lineage: Bacteria
Description: partial 16S ribosomal RNA
Rfam family: Bacterial small subunit ribosomal RNA
Source: RNAcentral